AGAGUUUGAUCCUGGCUCAGAUUGAACGCUGGCGGCAUGCCUAACACAUGCAAGUCGAACGGUAACGAUGGGAGCUUGCUCCCAGGCGACGAGUGGCGGACGGGUGAGUAACGCGUGGAAAUCUACCUAGUAGUGGGGGACAACCCGAGGAAACUCGGGCUAAUACCGCAUAAGCCCCAAGGGGGAAAGGCUUCGGCCGCUAUUAGAUGAGUCCGCGUCCGAUUAGCUUGUUGGUAGGGUAAUGGCCUACCAAGGCAACGAUCGGUAGCUGGUCUGAGAGGACGAUCAGCCACACUGGGACUGAGACACGGCCCAGACUCCUACGGGAGGCAGCAGUGGGGAAUAUUGCACAAUGGGCGAAAGCCUGAUGCAGCAAUGCCGCGUGUGUGAAGAAGGCCUGCGGGUUGUAAAGCACUUUCGAUAGGGAAGAUUAUGACGGUACCUAUAGAAGAAGCACCGGCUAACUCCGUGCCAGCAGCCGCGGUAAUACGGAGGGUGCAAGCGUUAAUCGGAAUUACUGGGCGUAAAGCGCGCGUAGGCGGCUCAGUCAGUCGGAUGUGAAAGCCCCGGGCUCAACCUGGGAAUUGCAUUCGAUACUGCUGAGCUAGAGUAUGGAAGAGGGAAGUGGAAUUCCGGGUGUAGCGGUGAA
This 649-nucleotide ribosomal RNA is filed under the name uncultured bacterium. RNAcentral describes it as "bacterial SSU rRNA". It matches the Rfam family "Bacterial small subunit ribosomal RNA", at positions 8 to 685 of the family's 1533-position model. The record is from RNAcentral.